This 282-nucleotide long non-coding RNA is filed under the name Chrysemys picta bellii (western painted turtle). RNAcentral's name for it is "lncRNA (ENSCPBG00000025081.1)". The record is from RNAcentral. Lineage: Eukaryota; Metazoa; Chordata; Testudines; Emydidae.
UGAAUGAGCACCCUGUAAACAGGGUACAGGUUGCAUCUCGCUUUUGAAAUCUGGGGGAUUAGAAUCAUUUCCGUUAUGUGGGCAGCUUGACCUCCCUGUAACUAGGGUUUGCGUCUCUGAGGCCCUUUGGGUCUCUUGGCCUCGUGCUGUCUUCACAGCCUGCUGCCAACGACCGCCCUGUAAUCAGGGAUCGGGUCUUUGCCCUCUAGUCUCUUGGCACUAGGCCAAAUGCAACCACUGCCCUGAAUGAGCACCCUGUAAACAGGGUACAGGUCUCAUCAG